UUUCACCGAGUCCCGGGCCGAGUAAUGUUCGUGCUGAGUUUCUUGCAUAUGUCACCGAUUCCCUCACUAGAGGGCCGGGUAUGUAUAUUAUAUAUAUGAUUGGUGAUGAGGAUGGUUAUGAUGAUGAUGAUGACGGAGAUGAUGUGAUGACUAUUUCACCGAGUCCCUCACUAGAGGGCCGGGUACGUAUGAUGUAUAUAUAUAAUGAUUAUUUUGCCGAGUCCCUUACUAGGGACGCCGGGCACCUUAUAUGUUAAAGAUAUGCAUGAUUUUCACUUAAAAGGUACAUGUGUAGUGAUAUCUUGUUUCGACUUAUCAUGUUGGUAUCCUGUCAUCUUUACCUUAUGCUUUACAUACUUAGUACAUUCCCCGUACUGACCCCCUUUCCUCGGGGGGCUGCGUUUCAUGCCCGCAGGUGUAGACGCACAGUUCGAUGAUCCUCCCGCCUAGGAUAUCUUCUCUGCUGAUUGGGCGAGCUCCAUUGUUCCGGAGCCCAGUCGUUUUGGUACAUAACUUUCUGUGUAGUCUUUUGCUUGUCUAUGGGUAUGGCGGGACCCAGUCCCGUCGAGUUUCACUGCUAUACUCUUAGAGGUCUGUAGACAUUAUGUGGGUUGCAUAUAUAUGUUUUGGAGAAUGUUCUGGACAUGGUUUGUUUUGGAUGUCCGCUUGUAUAGGGCCAGCCUUGUCGGCUGCAUACAUCAUUGUGUAUUGUGUAGUGGCAGCCUUGUCGACUUGCGUAUGCUAUUAUGCUUUGGAUAGUGGCGGCCUUGUCGGCUCGCGUAUGUUGUUACGGUUGAAUGGUUAUGACUCCUUAUGAGACAGAUCCACUUUAUAUAUAUAUGACGUUAGGGUUGGCUUGAUUUGAUUAAAUUCCAUAUUAUCUUAGUUUCAGUUGGUUAUACUUAACAGAUUUGUAUGUGAGUGUCCAAAACAGGCACUAGUCACGGCCCAUCGGGUUGGGUCGUGACAGGAUCAGCAUAACUAACUCACUUUUAUCGCAAUAUCACGGUGAACAAUUGGAAUGCAAAAGCAAUGUGUGCAAGGUGCUUGAUGAAUCGUCUGAUAUGCACAAACAUGCAAAUUCUCUCGGUAAAUCCAGCAAGCCUGUUGAGCUUUUCAUUCCCCCCUAAUGAUAUGGUAAAUUCUGUCUCCAAAUUUUUUGUGAUACAUAGAUGUGCUGAUUAUGUUAAAAAGGAAGACACGAAGGAUGAUAAGAGGAAAUUUUUACCAUCAGAAACGAACCUAUAGAAUUUGUUAUUGAAAUACAUGUAAACCUUCAUUCUGGAAUAAUUUUAUAGUAUCUAUUUCCUAUGACCUAUCCAUUUUUGAUAUUCACAAAGCUUUGGAUGAUCUUUGGAAUAAAUUAUUCACUAUACACUACAAAAAAUUCUACCCUGUUUGGCUUAUUCAGCGUUGGAAGUAGAUCCAUUCUAUUCCUUCCACUUUCAGUUAUUCCAAGCUUACGGGCAAAGUUACUAAUGGUGGUCGGGACUAUGUUGGCUGCUUUAUCAUGUAUACUGAAUUUUCUAAAUGUGAUAGUUAUGAUCAUCUUUCAGGUUUCAAAGCAAUUUAGUUGAAAAGAGUAUAAUUUUACAUGUACAGGAUCCUGGUAUAUACAAACUGCUUCUGAAGUUGAAUCGUUUGAAUGGUAGCAAUUUUUUCCACAGCCAAACUCGAGACUUUUUAUGAAUGCAAAGCAAUUUAAGAGGUGUGUACUAACUGUGCAUAAACGAGAAUUAUUUCUUGAUGGUGGUGGAAUUGUUAAUUUGUUCCAGAUAUAUUGCAUCCAAGUGAAUCCUCAUAUAUUUGGAAUACAUGUAAAGAAAAUAUUGCUCUCUUCUCUCUCAUCUCACUCACCACUCUCAGAUAGAUAUGGUAUCUCAUUAUAUGUGAAUCACUCAAAAUACAUGCACAUAUAUGUAUCUAGUGUGAUUUACAUUGUCUCUGAGAUAGUUACAAGUCUUGCUCACCUAGUUCCCCAAUCUCUCCUCUCUCCUUUUUAUGUACCUUGUAGGAAAACGCAUGUAUCUUUGCAUAAGAUACGUAAACAAUUUUAAAUUAGUGGUAAGAUAAAUAAUAUUUUGGCAUUAUGGAUCAUUAUAAUAUUUAUAGUAGUGAAUUAUAUGUCUAAUUAUAUAGUUUUCGAAUAUUUUUAAAUAGCGUUGACCGUACAUUUUGAGAGUAGAUUUUCAAAAUUAACCUUCAAAUAUUCAUUGGACUAUAAAAUUUGACUAGAUUUUCAAAUUUUGGUUUUCAAAUAUUUUGAAGUUCCUAACACCAACUAAGAUUUGUUUUUGAAUUUUAGUAACUUCCAUUCACGAAACUCCAAGAAAUUUUGGGCAAGAAAUUUAUUUUUCUUCUAAUUACUUUAACUUUAUUGUUUACGAUUAUAAUAGCAUAUUAAAAAUUUUCUUAUUAUAUUGAAUGUUUGAAGAUUUUGAUAUAUAGAUUAUUUCAUUUCAAAUUGUGUUCUCACCUACUUUCCUCAAAUUGAUAAAGUCAUUAACAAAAUUAUAAUGUUAAUCUCUUUAAUUUAGAAUGUUUAUUUAGUUUUCUUUAUUAUGAUUAGUGCAAGACUAUAUUCAUUUAAAUAUCUAUAAAAUUAUGUUUUGUUACUUUAAUCUUAACAUAAUGAGAAGAUUUGUUUUCAUUUAUUGUAUUGCAAGAAAUUAAUUACAUCAUUGAGGAUGUUUUUUUAUAAAUAAGCAACACAUUUUUUGGACAACUCAUCUAUUACUAUAUCAUUUUAGAGUCAUGGUAGGGAAAAAGACCCUAGGACGCCAUAAGAUUUCGAUGGCCAAAAUAGAAAAUAAAUAUGAUUUAUACUCAUCAUUUUCAAAGUGUCUGGAAAUUUUAUACAAGAAAGAAACCAAUAUGAUUGGGAAAUAUGACAUUGAUGUGAGAAUAAUCGCAUUUUCCCCCUCUCAUAGUCCCUUCACUUUUUUCCAUCCUACAAUUGAUGCUAUUAUUGAUCGUUUCAUUAGUGCAUUUAACCAAGGAAGUUUAUAUAGUCGCCUUAACGUUGCAAGCACUCGAAUCAGAAACAAGUUUAGCUUGACAAUCUAGAUAUCACUAAAGAGACUUUAGCUAAUCAGAAAACAGACGAGACUGACAUAGAGGAAAUGUAGGAACAAAUAAAGGUAUUUAAUGCAGAGGAUUUGAAAAAAAUAUGAAGUCGAUUGGAUGAGAUUGAUUUAAUGCUGGAAAAUGUUAUUGCUUCUUUUCCACAAGCUCCUCAAGAAAAUUCUAAUUAAGUAUAUAAUGGUUCCUUAUACAUUUGAAGCUUCAUGCAAUGAAAUAAUUUUCUUUUCUAAAACGUUUUUAUUAUAAGUUUUAGUUUCAAUUUUUAUUAUCAAGUUGAUGGUGUUAUUUGAAUUAUUUAGCGGUGAUUUUCAUUUAUGAUGUAAAUUUAAUGAACCGAAAGACUUGAAUUUUUGUAUUGGUUAUGAGUUCAAUAUUUUUUAAUUAUCAUGGUAAGUUUUAGAAUUUUUAACAUAUGUCAAUGAUUUUGAAUAUAUUUAAUGAUACUAUCAUUGUGAAGACCUUAGAUCUUGGCUUUGAACUAAUAAAUGCAAAUUAGUUUUCAGGGUUUUAAUCUAAUCACACACAUAUGAUGUGUUUAGAAAUAAUUAAAAUUUAUUCUUACACGUUUGGGCUAUUUAGAUAUAUCUUUAACGGUUUUUAGGACAACAAUACAUUAAGAAAAUUAAAAAAUCGGAGCCAGAAGGUGAAAUUUAAUUCGAGCAAAUAGGGAGGUCCAUUUAUACUGAGUGUCGUAGAAGAUCUGUCAGGCUAAAGUGUAUCUAGUAGUUGAACUUUAGACUGAGCCAACUAAAGGGUAAAGUCACUUUUUCAAAAAAAAAUAGAACAUCUAAAUUUAAUUGUGAAAUCAAAAUUUUCAUGAUGGCUAAGCUUUCGUAAAUGAACAUUUUGGCCUAUUUUUUUAAAUGAUGAGUGAGUUUUACACCCAUUACUAACAAAUUUGACAAUUUUUUAUAUGUAUUUGUAACAUCUCGCAACUAAGAAGAACAACAAAAGAGUUUAAAAUCUGAAAAUAGUUACUAUUAAAUAUAUAAGGAAAUCUGAAAAUCUUUGAGUAAGCCAAAAAGUGAGUUUUUCACUUAUUUCAAACCACUAUAAGUCCUAACCGAAGAUGAUUUAGGUGUAAUUCCACAUAUGUUUGGAAUUAUGAAUUAUCAUUCCCAUGCCACUAAGUUUGCGCGAUUAGGAGUUCAUAUGAGUGAGUUAUGUCUUUUGGAAGUUGAGUUGUUGGAUAAAGCAAAGUCUAAUCCGGAUUUGGGAAGGAAAAAUUUGUCCUUUUCUUACCUAAUUAUAUAAAUUCGUUUAUAGUGAUUAAUUAGGGUAAAAUAAGACUUCAUUCACUUUAGAAAAAUUUAGAGUUUACGCAAGGGAUUGGAGAAACGAUAAAAGAGGAGAAAUCAAGAAAUUUCUAAUUCAUUCAAGCUUUGCGUGUGGAAUUUGUCGGGGGUGAUCCCUAUAAAGGUAUGCGAGAUCACAUAGUGUUGGGUUAGUUUACCCAUGUGCCAACCAUGUUUCAAUUCAAAGAAUUUAAGUUUUAGUAUGUUAAGAAAUUGAGUUCUUGAAGAACAUCGUUGAAAGUUUCGUUGAAUUCUUGUGGGUUGUUUAGUUGAAGUUUAUUGAGGUUUGAUUCAUAUUUUCGACUGUAGUUUUCUUGAAUUUAUCGUAUAUUUAGAGUACUAUUUAUCUUUAGUGUUUGGGGAAAGAACCAUGGAAGUUUAGAACGCCUUGAGAUGAAUAAUGAAGGAGAAAAGUCGGAGUCAAUAGGGAAAAAGGGUGAGGCAUCGCGCUAGUCGGUGUACCCCAAAGAAAUCUCUGUCUAUAGGGCUCUGGGGACGCGCCAGACAGAGCACCCCAACCAAUGCUAUGAAGAUUGAGGGCGAACUCCUCAUGCCUCUUAGAGUUUCGAGGAUGCUAGUUCUCCCCAUUCUUCUUCCAUCUUUUCGUACUAGGUUCCUCAGUGAUUUACCAAUGUUUCCUGGUUGAUUCAAACACUCUAAGGUACAUCUAAACAUAAUUAAAUUAUCUGUAAAUGUGAGAUCAUGAACUCUGAACCCAUAAUCCAAUUUAAGGAAAGUUAAUAUCAAAAUCAUGAGAAGUUAAGAUAAAGUCUAGAAGUUAAGGGCAAGUCAAAAUAAAGUUUAUAAAGUUUUCAAAAGUCUUUCACAAACGUUUUCACUUUGUUCUAAAGACUUAAAAUUCUGGUCGAGUAAAGAGUAAAGGUUGAAGUCAUUUCUUCAAAGAAGUAUAUGGGGACUAUGAUUUCCCAAAGAUUUUAAAAAUAUUUUUCUCAUUUGAGAAAGAAAGGUAACAUCGCUUCCGAAAGGUAACAUCGCCGAGCUUUUAAGCUAUGUUUUGAGUAAUUAUUUGUAACCAAAGAAAGAAGUUGUUUUAAAAAGAUAAGAUCUAAGUAUAUUAUUAGAAGCACCGAUAUGCUGAUGCGAGUUCAUAUCAACUCAAGUUUUCAUAAACCAUGUAGUCAUCAUAAGUAUUAAAGGGUUAUACUUUUUAGAUGAUCACUUAAGUUAAGCUAGUGAAUCAACUAAGUUAUGUAGUUUUGUAUGACGUCAUAGUAUUGAACAGUAUAGCGGGGUGAUGGUAACAAUCUUGAUCACCACUUAGGAUCAUAGAGGUGGUUGUCGGUUAGAGAAACUCCCACAGUAAUAAGUGCAUGGUUCCUCAAGAGAUUCUGCUUAGUUUGAAUGGGGUAUGAUACUUCAUUCAUGCAUUGCACAAGUAGACUUUGAGAGGGAGCAUCCUCUUUUUUUUAUUGCACUUGUUCUAAACUACUUUAUAAUGAAAUGAGUUCAAUUAGGUAUUGAGGAGUUGAGAAAGCCAAGAUAAGUGUUUCUUUCAGAAUCUUCUCAAUCUUAUGGUGUAUUUGGUAUUCUAACUCGCAUACUCGGUCAUUCAAUAUACUGAUGUCAAUUUACCUGGAUUGUCUAAUGAUGCAUACACAAGUAACUAGGAUUAGCACCUAGCACACCAUUGAUCCAAUGAGCAGCUUAGUGUCAGUUGGUGAGCCUUCUUGCAUUCCAGAGGAAUCCUUUUCAUUGUUUACAAUUUUAUUUUUGCAGUUGUUAGGAUGAUUGGGGGUUUUAUCCCGACAUCCAUCUCAGUUAUUCGAGGCUUCAUAGAUAGCUAGUUAUUAGACAUUUGUCUUUACAUUGUCAUUAAUAUGUACUAAUACUUGAGUUGUCAUUUAGCUAUAUUCAAUGUUUAUUUUUUUAAAAAAAGGUUUGAGUCUUAUGAUUAGUUAAGUAAGUCAGGCCAAAGGCUUGCUUAGGGCCAACAAUGGUUCUUGAGUGCCGGCAACGUCCCAGGUGUAGGCUUGGGGCGUGAACAACUUGAUAUUAGAACCUAGAGUUCAAGAGUCCUAGGGAGUGUAUGAAGUGGUAUUUGUAGAGUCCUAGUUAUCAGUGCGAAGCGCGUCACAUCUAUAAUUAGGAGGCUGCAACAGUUAGAAAUUCCUUCACUUCAUUCAUACUUAUUUCGUGUGUUGGAGUUUGACCUCUAAAAGGUUUCCUUCUAAUUUGUGCUUGCACGUGUUUUCAGAGAAUUAUUCCUCCACGAAGAGAAGUCAAAAAUCCUCCAACUAGGAAGAAUAAUGAGGAACAAGAAUCCCAAUACACCUGAAGUGCAACCUCAAUGAAAAGUUACCCAUGCUGAAUUUUGUGAGACUAUCUGAACGUUAUGUCAAGUUUCAACCUAUCAAAUUGGACAGAGAGAUAAUCGACAGGAAAUGGUUGAUACAUCAAAGAUUUGAGAGCUUUUAAGGAUGAAUCCCCCAAGCAUCACAGGUUCAAGUGUCACUGAGGAUCCAGAAAACUUUAUUUGGUGUAAUGCAAUUGUUGAAGCAGAGAGGGUGGAACUGGUUGCAUACCAAAUGAAGGGUGUCGCUGGAAUCUGGUUUGACCAAUGGAAAAAGAAUAGGGUGGAGAAUGCACCGGUAGCGAGUUGGGUUGUGUUUCAGAGUGCUUUCAUGGGGCGUUUAUUUCCUUGUGAGUUGCGAGAGGAAAAUAUAAAAGAGUUUCUCACCCUUAAUCCGGAGUCUGUGAGUGUUCAUGAAAACGGUCUAAAAUUCACAUAACUUUCACGCUAUGCUCCAGAGACGGUUUCUGACAUGAGGAGUAGGAUGAGUUUCUUUGUUCAUGGGUUGUCUUUUUAGUCAAGCAAGGAAGACAAGGCUGCUAUGCUGAUAGGGGAUAUUGACCUAGCAAGACUUAUUAUACAUGUACAACAAGUUGAGAAAGAUAAGCUGAAGGAUAGAGAAGACUUUAAGAAUAAGAGGGUCAAGACAUCAAAUAAUGAUUUUAGGCAACACAAGAGUAAAUACAACUCUCCUACGGAAACAGAAGGGACAUGCUCCACCAUUUGGUAGUGCACCUGCACUUAAGAACAAAGGUGAUUACAAUAGUCAGAAUCCCCAUAGUUUCAAAGCUAAACAUGCGUGUGCUAGGUGUGGUAGAAAACACCAAGGUAAGUGUUGUGAUGGGAAGACAUGUUGCUUCAAGUGUGGUAAAAAGGGUCACUUUAUGAGAGAGUGUCCCCAGAUCUUGCAAAGUCAUGGUAAUAAGGCCCAGCCUUCUUUAGUUGCUCCACAAGACAGAGUUGCAACUCAAGGAGCUGCUUCAGGUACUAGAGGGGAAACAAACCGAUUAUAUCCUAUCAAAAGUCAUCAAGAGAAAGAAAAUUUGCCAGAUGUUUUCACAGGUAUGAUCAAACUCUUUGACUUGCUGUUUAUGCUUUGUUAGACUCAGGGGAGAGCUUAUAUUUUGUUACUCCUUAAGUUGCUUUGAAUUUUGAUGUUAUUCCUGAGCAACUUAGUAAAUCAAUCAGUGUUAGUACACCUGUUAGUGAGUCUAUUCUAUUAGAGAGAGUCUAUCGUGAUUAUAUCAUUUCUGUCAAUCACAAGAAUACCAUGGCUGGUUUAGGUGAGUUAGACAUGGUAGGUUUUGAUGACAUUCUAGGUAUGGACUAGAUUCAUGGCUUUUACGUAGAUUGUAGAACUCGAGUUUGUUCCUUAAGCCAAGGAAGUUAAAGUUAGUUUCUAAGGGGAGUGUCUAUCAUUUACUCCAAGUUAAUGACUCUAGUGUUAAGAUACCUCUUAUUUAGUUAAUUCGAGUAGUAAAAUAGUUUCCAUAAGUCCUUUAAGAUGAUCUUCCCGGAGUCCCUCUUGAUAUACAAAAUAGACUUCGGCAGGGUUGAAAGAGCUUAAAGAACAGCUGAAAGAUAUGUUAGAUAAGGGUUUCAUUCGACCAAGAGUCUCACUUUAGGGCGCUACAAUCUUGUUUGUGACAAAUAAAGAAUAAGUAUCCUCUUUAUCAAAUUGAUAAUACUUUCGAUCAGCUUCAGGGUGCUUCUUAUUGUUAUAAGAUUAACCUCAGAUGUGGCUACCAUCAGUUGAAAGAAAGGGAGUGUGAUAUUCCCAAGAUAACAUCUAGGACCCCUUAAGGUCAUUAUGAGUUUAUGGUCAUGCCAUUUGGUUUCACUAAUUCACUUGCAAUAUUUAUGAACCUUAUGAAUAGAGUCUGUAUACGUCAUUUAGAUAUGUUUGAUAUCAAUUUUAUCUAUGACAACUAAUCUAUUCAAGAAAUGAAGAAGAUCCUUCUAGUCAUCUCAAACUAGUCCUCCAGUCUUUGAAUGACGAGGAGGUAUAUGCUAAGUUCCCCAAAUGCGAGCUUGACUUGAUAUUAUGGCGUUCUUGGGUUACAUAGUUUCCGGUGAUGGAAUUAGAGUUGAUACCAAAAAGAUAGAACCAGUUCAAAGUUGGCCUAGACCCACAUGUUCAACUGCAAUAAGGAGUUUCUUAGGUUUGGCUAGAUUAAAUAGAAGGUUUGUAGAGGGGUUCUCCUAUAUUUCUUCCGUUUUGACCUAUUAACUCAGAAAAGAGUAAAAUAUCAAUGGUUUGAGGCUGGUGAGAAAAACUUUUAGGAAUUGAAAAACAGAUUGACACUUUCCCAAUUUGAUCUUACAAGAAGGUAAGCAAGGCUUUGUUGUCUAUUGUGUUGCGUCUAGAAUUGUUUGAGUUGUGCGUUAAUGUAGAAUGACAAAUUUAUAGCUUUUACCUCCAGGUAGUUGAAAUUUCAUGAGAAGAAUUACCCAAACCAUGAUCUAGAGUUUGAUGUUGCGGUAUUUGUUUUGGAAAUAUUGUGCCACUAUCUUUAUGGUAUUCAUGGAUAUAUAUUCACCGAUUAUAAGAGUCUUACGUGUUUACUUAGAAAGGGCUUAAUCACACACAAAGGAGGUGGCUAAAAUUACUCAAAGACUAUGACAUGAGUAUUCUUUAUCACCCAGGUAAAGCUAAUGUCGUUGUUGAUACUUUAAGUAAAUUCUCAAUGCUUGAAUGAAAGGCAACUGUUCAUAAUUAAAAAGUGAUGGCUUUUGAACCAGGGGGAGAUGCUGUUUUGAGGUAUGAAGAUAGAUUGUGUGAUUGAUUUUAAGGUUUAUUGGGAUAAUCACCUACCUCACAUGGAUUUUUUUACAACAAUAGUUACCAUUCUAAUAUCCAAAUGGAUCCUUAUGAAGCUCAUUACGGGAGAAGAUGCAGAUUUGAUUUUUAAUGGUUCGAAUUUUGUGAAGUAGGGUUGAAAGGACCAGAGUUACUUAAUCAAGCUAUGGAGAAAAUGAAAUCCAUUCAAAAUAGAUUGGAACCAACAAAAACUCAUCACAAAUCCUACAUUGAUGUUAGGAGAAUGUAGUAACAGUUUGAGGUAGAUGAUUGAGUUACUUGAAAAGUUUCACCCAUGAAGGGUGUUAUAAGAUUUGAUAAGGAAGGGAAGAUCAGUGUACAAUAUAUUGGUCCUUCCAAAAUAUCCAAGAGGAUUGACAAUGUAGCUGGUAAGUUAGAGCUACCACAAGAAUUAGUUGUAGUCCAUCCGGUGUCUCACAUCUCCAUCUUGAAGGAGUGCAUGGGAGAUACUGUACUUAUCAUACCAAUUGAGAGGAUAUUGAUAUCACGGAUAGUUUGUCUUAUGAGGAGGUUCCGGUUCAGAACCUAGAUCGCCAAGUUCGGAAGUUGAGAAUAAAGCAAGUAGCAUCGAGUCAAAGUUCUGUGGAGAAAUUAGUUUGUAGAGAAGCUACUUGAAAAUAUGAAGAGGAUAGGAGAAGAGAUACCCUCAUCUCUUCUGAUCCGGCGAAGCUUCAAAUUAAAGGUACUAAUCCUUUUCUUGGCAUUAAUAUUAAGUUGGCUUCUUGAAAUUGCAUUGUGCUUGUUGAGUGUUUAAAUUGUAUAAUUGAUGUGACACCUUUAACCUUGUCACAACCCAACCCGAUGGGCCGUGACUAGUGCCCGUUUUGGACACCCAUAUACAAACCUGCUAAGUAUAACAAACUGAAACUAAGACAAUAUAGAAUUUAAUCAAAUCAAGCCAACCCCAACGUCGUAUAUAUAUAAGAGGACCUGUCUCAUAAGGAGUCAUAACCAUUCAACCAUAACAGCAUACGCGAGCUGACAAGGCCGCCACUAUUCCAAGCAUAAUAACAUACGUAAGCCGACAAGGCUGUCACUACACAAUACACAAUGAUGUACGCAGCCGAAAGGGCUGCCCUUGUACAAGCGGACAUCCCAAACAAACCAUGUCCACACCAUUAUCCAAAACAUAUAUAUACAACUCACAUAAUUUCCACAGACCUCUAAGAGUACAUUAGUGAAACUCGACGGGAAAGGGCCCCGCCAUACCCAUAGACGAGCAAAAGACUACACAAAAGUGAUGUACCAAAACGACUGGGCUCCGGAAUAGUGGAGCUCUCCCAAUCAGCAGAGUAGAUAUCCUAGGCGGGAGGAUCACCAAACUGUGCGUCUACACCUGUGGGCAUGAAACGCAGCCCCCCGAGGAAAGGGGGUCAGUACGGACAAUGUACUGAGAAUGUAAAGCAUAUGGUAAAGAUGACAGGAUACCAAUAUGGCAAGUCGAAACAAAAUAUCGCUACACAUGCACCCUUUUAAGUGAAAAUCAUGCAUAUCUUUAAAAUAUAAGGUGCCCAGCUUCCCUAGUAAGGGACUCGGCAAAAUAAUCAUCAUUUCAUCUCCGUCAUCAUCAUCAUCGUAACCAUCCUCAUCACCAAUCAUAUAUAUAAUAUACAUACCCGGCCCUCUAGUGAGGAACUCGGUGACAUAUGCAAGAAACUCCGUACGAACAUUACCCGGCCCGGGACUCGGUGAAAUGAUAAAUGACUCCAUGCACGAGCAGAAUAUUAUGAGCAACCAUAUGCAAUUAAAAUCAUUUCUUAUAACUCAAUAGAACAAUCAACAUGAACCAACAAGGAGUAUUACCAAAGAUUAAUGUUUUAUCAAGAUUAUGAACCUUUAAUACGAUAUGGAAAUGUAAAAUCUCAAUGACUCUAAGAAGCACUACCAUAGAUAUUAGAGAUCAUCAUAGCCUUAGACAUAGCCGAUAUAUAGAGGAAUAAUUGUGGAAGCAAGAAUAUACGUCACCUAGACGCUCUAGAGGUAAGUAUCAAACCUGUCCGUUAUUCUCUUAUUUUAAAAUGUCAUGCCAAACAAAGAAAGAAGGGACAACGUCACAUACCGUAUAAUCAAGCCGCACGUCCAAUAUUUACUACUCAAGCUAUUAAUCUAUAACAAGCAACAAUCGUGCCGCAAUUAGAUAAACAUCUAGCUUUACUUUCUUGUAAGCUAGCUAAUAAUCUAACGAAAAUUCGGCAGCACUUCCCCUAUUUUCCUUACUUCGUCCCAAUCCGACAACAACCCAAAUUAUCCACAGCAAUACCAAUAACACAUAUAACCCAACGAAUCAUAUUAAACAGCCCCCUCCCCAAAACAGUUCUGUCUCGGCAACCAUAGUAGCGAAGCAACGACACACCGAGCGAUAACUCAUUUUAUAAUUCGCAACACAUCUACCUUAUCGUAUUCAUCCUUUGGAGUAUAUACUCAUAAUCACAUUCAACAUAUACAUAAUGCCAAAACAGAAUUUUCCUUCAGUUUGCUUUAAUCAAAACAACCCAAGCACCAACAUGACACCACUAAUAAUCCAAUUCUGGUUUCCGUUCAUACCUAGCACAUUCAAUAACUAAAACAAACUUCCUAAGCUACUGGUCACGCCCCCUUCUUAAAAUUAAUGGAUAAUUAACAAAGGUAUUCUAAAGAAUUAACACACCAAACAAGGAGAUUACUAACCAAAUUAUUUGCAGCUGCUGGCCAAGAGUUGAAGGGUUGGUUUCUCCAUUUCCAUGGCUGCCUAAGAAAAGUGGUGAAGAAGAAGAUGAUAUGCAGCAAUGCAUUUCACCACUUUAUUUAGCAUGGAGUGGAUUUAUCCACCUCAUUUAAUAGUAUGAAGUGGAGGCAGCCCCCCUCUACACCUGUCUAUUAAGGCCAGCUCACAAUCUGAUCCCUUUUUAAUUUUUGCCUUGAGUGGUGGGUCCCACUUGAUUAAAUUAAUCCUAAUCAGCCACCAAUUAUGAGUGGUAGGCCCCAUUUGAUUAAAUCAAUCCAAAUUAGCCACUAAUUAGUCCCUCACUUAAAGUUAAUGACACUUACAUUAGCCAAUUCAUACUUAAUAUCACAUUUGGAAAUAACAUCCUUGCCUAAUAUUUCUUUAAUCACUUGGAACUUAAAAUAAAAUCUCAAUCCCCGGACUUACGUCUACUAGAUCACGAUGCGCACUACGUAUAUAAAAAAACGAGGCAUAACAAACCUAGUACGAAUAAUGUCAUUCGAGGAUGAAUGUUCCCAAGGGGGGAGAUAUUGUAACAUCUCAUAACUAGAAGAACUAGAAAAGAAUGUAAAAUUUGAAGAUAAAUACUUUUGGUAAGUAAAAGGAAAUCUAAAAAUCACCAAGUUAAAAAAAGUGAGUAUUUGGCCAACUUCAAACGAUCAUAACUCCUAGCCCAGGAAAAGUGUGGUGUAGUUCAAGAUAUGAUUGGAAAGCCUUUGGGAAUGAUUAUUACAAUUUCGUAAAGCUUGCACGAUUCCAAGUUCGUAUGAGUGAGUUAUAUCAUUUGGAAGUUCAGCAGUUGAAUUAAGGAAUAUCAAAUCCGGAUUAGGGAUGGGCAAAUUUGUUUUUCCUUACCUAAUUAUAUUAAUUCAUUCUUUAGGGAUUAGUUGGGGUAAAAUAUUACUUCAUUCAGUUCAGAUAUGGUAUCCCAAUACAUGUGAAUUUCUAAAGAUACAUACACAUAUAUCUGGUGUAUAUCUAGAGCGAUUCAAUGUGUCUGAGAUACAUACAAAUCUUGCUCUCCUCGUUUCCCAAUCUCACCUCUCUCCCUUAUUAUGUAUCUGAUAGCAAAAAUAAAUGUAUCGAAGCAUAAGAUACGUAAAUAAUUCUAUAUUAAUGGUAAGAUAGAUAAUAUAUUGGAAAUAUCGAUAAUAAUAAUAUUGAUAGUAAUUAUAUGUCUAAUUAUAUAGUUUUCUAAUAUUUUAAAAUAGUAUUGACCAUAUAUUCUGAGAGUAGAUUUUAAAAAUUCACCUUUAACUAAUUAUUUGAAUAUAAAAUUUGACCAGAUUUUCAGAUUUUGGACUUCAAAAUAAAUAGUAUUGACCAUAUAUUCUGAGAGUACAUUUUAAGAAUUCACCUUUAACUAAUUAUUUGAAUAUAAAAUUUGACCAGAUUUUCAAAUUUUGGACUUCAAAUAUUUUUGAGUUCCUAAAAAUAAGAUUUAUUUCUUGAUUUUAGAAACUUCCAUUCAAGUAGCUCCCAAAAGUUUAGGCAUGAAAUUUAUUUUUCUUCUAAUUAAUUUAACUUUUGUCGUCUACAAUUAUAGCAGCAUAUUAAAAGUUCUCAUAUUUUAUUGAAUGUUUGAAGAUUUUGAUAUAUAGAUAAUUUCAUUUCGAAUUGUGUUCUAACCUACUUUCUUCAAUGUGAUAAAGUUAUUAACCAAAUUAGAAUUUUUUUAAUGUCAUUUAUUUAGAAUUUUUAUUUAUUUUUUGUUAUUACGUAAGUGCAAGACUAUAUUCUUUUAAAUAUUUAUAUAAAUAUAUUUUGUUACUACAAUUUUAACAUACUGAGGAGAUUUGUUUUCAUUUAUUGUAUUGCGAGAAAUUAAUUACAACAUUGAAGAAUUCUUUUGUAUAAAUAAGCAUUAAUUUUUUUUGGAGAGCCUCAUCAAUUGACAUUAUUUAAAGUCAUGGCAGAAAAACAGACCCUAGGACGCCACAAGAUUUCAAUUGCAAAAAUUCAGAAUGAAGCAUAUUUAUGCUCAUCAUUUUUUAUGCUUCGGAAAAAUUUAUACAAGAAAAGAAGCGAUAUGAUUGGGAAAUAUGACAUUGAUAUGGGAAUAAUAAGAUUUUCCCUCUCAGAUAAACCCUUCUCUUUUUUUGCACCCGACAAUUGAUGCUGUUGUUGAUAGUUUGUUUUGUCCAUUUGACCGGGGAAGUGAAAAUAGUCGCCAUAAAAUUGCAUACACUCAGAUCAGAAUCAAGGAGAAUCAAGUUGAGCUUGACAAUCUCGAGAUGAUAAAAGAGACAUAAGCUAAUCAGACACUAGACGAGACUGACAUUAAAAAAAUGUGGGAACAAAUAAAGGUAUUUAAUGCAAAGGAUUUGAAAAAAUCUGAAAGUCGAUUGGAUUAUAAUUUGAUGUUGAAAAAUGUUGCUUCAUGCAAAUAAAUAAUUAGAUUUUUUUAAAAAAAAAUAUAUUUUCGUUUUAUGUUCUAGUUUCGAUGUUUAUUUUAAAGUUGAUGAUGUUAUAUGAAUUAUUUAGUUAUGAUUUAAAUUUAUGAUAUGAAUUUAGUGAACCCAAAGACUCAAAUUUUUUUUAUUAAUUAUGAUUUCAAUAUUUAAAUUUAUCAUGGUACGUUUUUACAAUUCUUAAAAUAUAUGUCAAUGAUUUUGAAUAUAUUUAAUUUUACUAUCACUAUGAGGACCUCAGAUCUUGGCUAUGACUACUAAAUGCAAAUUAGUUUUCUGGAUUUUAAUCUAACCACACUCAUAUAAUGUGUUCAAAAUUAAUUCAAAGUUAUUCUUACACGUUGGGGUAUUUAUAUAUAUCUUAAACGGCUUUAGGAAUAAUACAUUCUGAAAAAUAAAUAAUCAGAACUAGAAGGUGAAAUUAAUUCGAGCGGAUAGUGAUGUCCAUUUUCUCUCAGCAUCGUAGAAGAUCUCUUAGGUAAAAGAGACUCUAGUAGUUGAAUUAUAAAUUGAUUCAACUAAAGGUAAUGUCACUUUUUGAGAAAAAAUAAAAACUUUCAAUUUAGUGGUGAAAUCGAUAUUUUCAUGAUGGCUAAGCUUUCGUAAGUGACAAAAUCGACCAAUUUUCUCAAUGAUGAGCACAGUUUUACACCCAUUAUCAAUAAAUUUGACCAGCUUUGUUUUAUGUAUCUAUCACAAAUCAGUUGUUAAAAUAAUUGCGUAUGGAUUUUAGUAACACAAAAAUAUGCUGAUUAGGUUUUUAAUUAAAUAAUUUGAUUUGUCAAAAAAAAACUAGGACUAUUUUUUCGUUGUGUGCUGUUAUAUAUGAUAAAACUUCCAAAAAGAAGUUCAUUGGAUAAAUUUUUAUUACAUAAAUUCCACUAAUUUAAGAAUGAAUUACUUAAAUACAAUACAGUUUGGAAUAUUAUUUAUUUUACCAGAUUUUUGUGCAUAAAUGCUUCCAAAUACUGGUAUCUCAUAUACAUGGGAUCAAAUUUAAGUGUAAUUUGUUUAAGAUAUAUUAUAUCCAAGUGGAUCCACUUGUAUUUGUUAUACAUGUAUAACAAAUCUUGCUCUCUCCUUUCUCUCAUCUCACUCACAAUUCGAAGAUAGAUAUGGUAUCGUAAUACAUGUGAAUCAUUUAAGUUAUAUACACAUAUACGUAUCUAGUGAGUAUCUAGUGUGAUUUACAUAUGUCUAAGAUACAUACAAAUCUUGCUCGCCUCGUUCCACAAUCUCGCAUCUCUCCCUUUUUAUAUAUUUGAUAGCAAAAAUACAUGUAUUUAAGAAUAAGAUAUGUAAAUAAUUCUAAAUUAGUGGUAAAAUAGAUAAUUCUUUGGCAAUAUAGAAAUAAUAAUAAUAUUUAUAGCAGUGAAGUUUAUGUCUAAUUAUAUAGUUUUGUGAUAUUUUGAAAUAGCAUUGACCAUAUAUUUUGAGAAUAUAUUUAAGAAAUUCACAUUUAACUAUUAUUUAACUAUAAUAUUUGAUCAGAUUUUCAAAUUUUGUUCUUCAAAUAUUCUGAAAUUCCUAACACUAAUGUUUAUUGGAUUUUGGUAAUUUUCAUUCACGAAACUCCAAGAAAUUUUGGGCAAGAAAAUUAUUUUUUUCUAAUUACUUUAACUUUUGUCGUCACAAUUAUAGUACCAUAUUGAAAAUUUUCCUAUUAUAUUGAAUGUUGACGAUUUUUAUGUAUAGAUUAUUUCAUUUCAAAUUGUAUUCUCACAAACUUUCCUCAAUUUGAUGAAGUCAUUAACUAAAUAAGAAUAUUACUCUCUUUAGUUUAAUUUUUAUUAUUAUGGUAAGUGCAAGACUAUAUUCUUUUAAAUAUCUGUAUAAAUAUAUUUUGUUAUUAUAAUUUUAACAUAAUGAGGAGAUCUGUUUUCAUUAAUAUAUAGUAUUGCAAGAAAUUAAUUACGACAUUGAAGCAAUGUUUUUGUAUAAAUUAGUGUUGCAUUUUUUUGGAGAGUCUCAUCGAUUAACAUAUCCUUUUAGAGUCAUGAAAGAAAAAGAAGAUUUUGACGGCCAAAAUAGAAAAUGAAGAUGAUUUAUACGCAUCAUUUUUUCAAUGUAUUGUAAAACUUUAUACAAGAAAGGAAGCGAUAUGAUAGGGAAAUCACAUUGAUGUGGGAAUAAUAACAUUUUUCCAGUAUGAUAAUUCUUUCUUUUUUAUACCCUACAAAUGAUGUUGUUGUAGAUCGUUUCUUUAGUCUAUUUGACCAGGGAAGUGAAAAUAAUCGCUUUAACAUUGCAAACACUCUGAUCAGAAUCAAGAAGAACCAAGUUGAGCUUGACAAUCUCGAGAUCAUAGAAGAGACUUUGGUUAAACAGACAACAGAAAAUACUGACAUAGAAGAAAUCGGGGAAUAAAUAGUAGUAUUUUAAUUCAGAGGAGUUGAAAAAAUCUAAAAGUUGAUUGGAUGGGAUUGAUUUGAUGCUGAAUAAUGCUGCUCCUUCUUUUUCACAAGCUCCUCGAGAAAAUGCUAAUUAAGCAUACAAUGGUUCGUAUACAUUUGAAGCCUCAUGUGAUGAAAUAAUUAUUUUUUUUGUAAACAAUAAGUUUAAGUUUGGAUGUUUAUUAUAAAGCUGAUGGUGUUAUUUAAAUUAUUUAGUUGUGAUUUCAAUUUAUGAUAUGAAUUUAGUGAACCUAAAGACUCAAAUUUUUGUAAUUAUGAAUUCAAUAUUUAAAUGUCUCAUGGUACAUUUUAGAAUUUUUAACAUAUAUGUGAAUGAUUUUGAAUAUAUUUAAUGAUAUUAUCAUUGUAAAGACUUUAGAUCUUGGUUUUGGACUAAUAGAUGCAAAUUAGAUUUCAGGCUUUUAAUCUAAUCACACCCAUAUAAUGUGUUCAAAAUUAAUUUUUAAACUUAUAAAUUUAUUCUUACAAUUUUUGGCUAUUUAAAUAUAUCUUAAACGGUUUUUAGGAAAAAAUAGAUUUAAAAAAAUAAAUACUCGGAGCUAGAAGGUGAAAUUUAAUUCGAGCAGAUAGUGAGGUCCAUUUUCUCUCUAUAUCGUAGAAGAUCUGUCAAGUUAAAGUGUAGCUAGUAGUUGAACUACAGAUUGAUCCAACUAAAAGGUAAGCUCACUUUUUUGAGAAAAAAUAAAAACAUUUAAAUUUAGUAGUGAAAUUGAAAUUGUCAUGAUGGCUAAGCUUUCGUAAAUGACAAUUUUGGCCUAUUUUCUCUGUGAUGAGCGCAUUCUUACACCCAUCACAAACAAUUUUGUUCAUUUUUUAUAUGUAUUAUCACACACCAGUUGUUAAAAUAAUUGCAUAUAGAUUGUAUUAACACAAAUAUAUGCUGAUUAGGGUUUUAAUUCAAUAAUUUGCUUCGUCAAAAAAAAGAAGCAGCUAAGAUUAUCUUUUCGUUGUGUAAUGUUAUAUAUAAUAAAAGUUCAAAAAGGAAGUUCAUUGAAUAUUUUUUACAUAUAUUUCCACUAGUUUAAGAAUGAAUUACUUAAAUACAUUAUAGUUUGGAAUAUAAUUAUUUUACCUGAUUUUUGUUCAUUCAAAUACAUCCAUAUACUGAUAUCUCAUAUACAUGGGGUCAUAUUUACGUGUAAUUUGUUUUAUAUAUAUAUAUAUAUACAUUGUAUCCGAGUGGAUCUGACUGUAUUUGACAUACAUGUAUAGGAAAUCUUGCUCUCCUCUCUCUCAUCUCACUCUCCACUCUCAGAUAGAUGUGGUAUCCCAAUACAUGUAAUUCACUCAAGAUACAUACAUAUAUAUGUAUCUAGUGUGUAUCAAGUGUGAUUUACAUGUAUUUGAAAUACAUAUAAAUUGUACUCGCCUAGUUCCCCAAAUCUUGCCUCUCUCCCUUUUUAUGUAUCUGGUGGCAAAAAUACAUGUAUCUUAGCAUAAGAUACGGAAAUAAUUCUAAAUUAGUGGUAAUAUAGAUAAUAUUUUGGCAAUAUAGAUAAUUAUAAUAUUUAUAGCAUCGAAGUAUAUGUCUAAUUAUAUAGUUUUCUAAUAUUUUAAAAUAACAAUGACCAUAUAUUUUGAGCAUAGUUUUUCAAAAUUCAUCUAUAACUAUUUAUUAGACUAUAAAAUUUGACCAGAUUUUCAAAUUUUGGUCUUAAAUAUUUUGACGUUCCUAACACUAACUAAGAUUUGUUUUUGGAUUUUGGUUACUUCUAUUCAUGAAAAACCAAGAAAUUUUUUGUAUGAAAUCUUUUUUUCUUCUAAUUACUUUAACUUUUGUCGUGUACAAUUAUAGUAGAAUAUGAAAAUUUUUUCUAUUAUAUUGAAUGUAUGAAGAUUUUUAUAUAUAGGUUAUUUCAUUUCAAAUUGUGUUCUCACCUACUUUCCUCAAUUUGAUAAAUUCAUUAAUCAAAUUACAAUAUUAAUCUCUUUAAUUUAGAAUUAUUUAUUUAUUUAUUGUUAUUAUGGUAAGUGCAAGACGAUAUUUCUUUUAAAUAUUUAUAUGAAUAUAUUUUAUUAUUAUUAUUUUAACAUAAUGAGGAGAUUUGUUUUCGUUUAUAGUAUAGAAAUUAAUUACAACAUUGAAGAAUUCGUUGUAUUAAUAAGAAACACAUUUUUGGGAGAGCCUCAUCAAUAAACAUAUCAUUUUAGAGUCAUGACAGGAAAAAAGACUCUAGGCACCAGAAGCUUUCGAUGGCCAAAAUAAAAAAUGAAGAUUAUUUAUAUUCAUCAUUUUGAAAGUGUCUUGAAACACUAUCCAAGAAAGCAAGCGAUAUUAUUGGAAAUAUGACAUUGAUGUGAGAAUAAUAACAGUUCCCCCUAUGAUAAUCCGUUCUUUUUUUUACAUCCUACAAUUCAUGUUGGUGUUGAUCGUUUAUUUAGUCCAUCAAACCACAAAAGUGAAAAUAGUCGCCUUAACGUUGUGAAUACUCAUAUUAGAAACAAGUUGAGCUUUACAAUUUAGAGAUCAUAGAAGAGACUUUAGCAAAUCAGACAACAGACGAGACUGACUAGCACAAAUGUUGGAACAAAUAAAGGUAUUUAAUGCAGAAGAUAUGGAAAAAUCUGAGAGUCGUGGAUGAGAUUGAUUUGAAUCUUGAAAAUGCUACUGCUUCUUUUACACAAGCUCCUCAAGAAAUUGCUAAUUAAGCAUACAAUGAUUCCUAAUACAUUUGAAUCCUCGUGCCAUGAAAUAAUUAUGUUUUUUUAAAAUGUUUAUGUUUUGAGUUUUAGUUUUGAUUUUUAUUUUAAAGUUGAUAGUGUUAUUUUAAUUAUUUAGUUGUGAUUUCCAUUUAUGAUAUGAAUUUAGUGAACCCAAAGGCUUGAAUUUUGUAUUUAUUUUGAGUUAAAUAUUUAAAUUUCUCAUGGUACAUUUUAGAAUUUUUACCAAAUAUGCUAAUGAUUCUAAUUAAAUGUUAUUAUAUUGAAUAUAUUUAAUGAUACAAUCAUUCUGAAGACCUUAGAUCUUGGCUUUGGACUAAUAGAUGCAAAUUAGUUUAGAGAGUUUAAAUUUAAUCACACCUAUACAAUGUGUUCAAAAUUAAUUCAAAUUUAUUCUUACGGGUUUGGGUUGUUUAGAUAAAUCUAACAAUGGUUUUUAGGAAAAAAAUAACAUUUUUAAUAUAGUUAAUCAGAGCUAGAAGGUGAAAUUUAAUUAGAGCAGACAAUGAGUUCUAUUUUCUCCCAAUAUCGUAGAAGAUCAGUCAGGUCAAAGAGUCUCUAGUAUUUGAACUAUAGAUUGAGCCAACUAAAAGGUAAAGUCACUUUCGUAAAUGACAAAUUUGGCCUAUUCUCUUAUGGACGAGCGUAGUUUUACAACCAUUACUAACAAAUUUGACCAUUUUUUAAGAGUAGCAUUAUUUUAAGUAAUUCACCCUACCUUAGAUGUGAUGUUAUUCUCUUCUGUUUAUGAAAGUGCAUCUUAGCCCCUUGCUUCUUCUUCCAUGUGGAUUUUUCAUAAACAAGAUUUCAAGAGAAGUUUCCUUUUAUUUGUGGCACAUGGUUUUUUGAAAUUCAUUUCAAGAAGGUUGAAGUUUAUCUACUAUGCCACAAACAAUAAUGUUAUCUCCAAUUUUAACCUCUUCAAACCUAAGCUCUCAAACAAUCAUGAUAAAGUCUUGAGCUUGGUCUACCAGUGAUUUGUUGUCUACCAUUUGGAAACGAAAAAAUCAACUAGCCGCAUAUUUUUUCGCUCAAGCCUCUUUGGUAUCAUACUUAAUCUGCAAUGCCUUCCAAAUAUUCUUUGCACUAGAGUAAGUUCUAUCAUAAUAUUCAUAAAAAUUAUCAGAUAGACAAUUAAGAAGAUAAUACCGACACUUAUAGGAAUCACCAUCGUACUUUUCCACUUUCUCUAGAUAAAAAAAAUUAUUUCAUCAUCAUUCAUAGAGGUGAUGUCUUCUUUAUUUGGAUUCUUCUCGGUCAAUAAAUAAGAAACAUUGAGAAGAAUUAAGUAGAAAAGCAGUUUACCCUUUCAUCUCUUGAAAUGGUUACCAUUGAACCGAAAUGGCUUAUUAACGUCUCCCAUCUUGACAUCCGCGGUUUUUUUCAAUUGUAACCAUGUUAAAUCUCCUUAAUUGUUAGUGAAAACUUAAAAUAUAACAAAAAUACAAGAUUAAAUUGAAUAUGAAAUGAAGAAAUCAAAUCUUUUCAGGUUAACAUACGGAUAUUUCGCUCUCUUUAAGGAUAUUCAAGCCUACUGCAACAAAUGUUUCACAUGUACAACAGUAGUCCUCUUGGGCUUCUCCCUUUCAGGAUACAACGGCCUUUACAAAGUAUAACUCAACAACUACGGACAAGAUUUGAGUCCAAAGCUCCACAAAUAAAGCACCUCCCUUCAAUUAAUAAGAACUCUUUUUUAACUAACUCUUUUACUCUAUAUUUUUUUCUUCUGUUUUAUAGGUUACAAACCAAAUGAAGACCACCACUAUUUAUAGUAUAAGAAGUCUUCCUAACAAUGAAUAGGAAGAUAAUGUGGUAGUAAAUAGUGAAGAUACUGAUCUUAGGAGUUACAUAUGUUGCAAAGAAUAAUGGUAAAUAAUGUGAGUGCAUUAUGCAACUAACGGGCAGAAUGUGGAGUUUCACAAAGAUACAAUAAUGUGCACCAAAUGAAAAUGUCAGAAACGGCUUAAUAAAUAUAAAUAAACCUCAUAAUGCAUUCUUCCAAGGAUAAAAUAAAAUAAACCAACCUUUUUUCCAAAUAUAAAACAAAAUAGACCAAAAGAAAUUUCUUGAGGUUUGAUUCGUAUUUGAACGAGUGAUUUUGGAUUGAAUAUAUCGUAUAUUUAGAGUGCUAUUGAUCCUUAGUAUUUGGGGAAGGAUUUAUAUACAUUUACAGAGUUUUGAGAUUAAAAUUGAAGGAGAAAAGUUGGAGUCACCUAGAAAAAAGGAUGAUGCGUCGGGCCAGCCAGCGCGCCCCAAAGAAAUCUCUUUCUAUAGGGCUCUGGGGUGACGCGCCAGACUGAGCGCCCCAAACAGUCCUACGAAGUUUGAGGGCUGGCGCCCUGUGCUUUUCAGAACGCCAGGGAUGUCAGUUCUUCCCAUUCUCCCGUACUAGUUUCUUAGUGAUAUACCUAUGUUUCCUAGUUGAUUCAGACAAUCUAAGGUACAUCUACACAUCACGAAAUCAUCCAUAAACAUGAGAUCAUGAGCCUUGAAUCCAUUAUCCAAUUCAAGAAAGUUAAGAUCAAAGUCAAGAGAAGUUAAGAGUCUCAUAUACCACACUCAUUCAUUCAUUAGGAAUAGAUAUAGAAAUUUCUACUAGACACUCCACUCAACUUACGGAUGAUCAUAUUCAGAAGAGAUCAAUUGAGAAUAACAUUCAAUACACUCAACGUUCCUUAACAAUAGUGUAGAACUUCAUUCAUCAUUCAUUUAUUUUUCAUUCAUGAGUGUGUGUGAGGGAGUAACUUUUCACCUUAAAUGUCAUCAUUCUUAAAUGUUAAUCAAGAAUAUGACUCCACUCAUAACACCAUUGCAAUCUUGACAUAAUCAUAAAGUACAUGGAAGUAAACACAUCCACCAUAACUAGAUCAAACAUCAAUAAAUUAACAUUCUAUAUCAUUUAAAAUCAAUCUCAACCCAUAUAUCCAAGAUACUACAAGAGAUAAGACAAUUGACAUAUUUCCAUAACCAAUUCCACCAUCUGCAUAAGCAAUUCAACAUGAAUUCAUUCAUAAUUCCUUUAAAGGUCAUGAUCCUCACAUCAUCAAUACAUAAAUAAAUUCACCACAAUUAUAUAUAACUAAUGGCAUGAAUUCAUAAUCUAACUUCAUGUAAACACAUACUAUUCAUUAUAUUUCCAUAAUUAACCAAUUCUCAAUCAAUUUCCAAGAUAAAGAAGUUUGGAGAAAGUGUGGGUUCCUGAAGAAAUUCAAUAGAAACUCACAUUGAAAUCAUCAAUUAGACCACAUAUUAUCAUUAUAAUGAGUUUGAAAAUGUUUUCCAAUCAAACCCAAAUUAGAUUAGAAAGUAGUGUUUUGACUAUUGAUGAACUUUGAAAUGCAUUUUUAUUUGACUCCUUGAAUGAAAUAUUUAUCAAGGAUUACGGAUUACCAUCACUUAUACUUGAAGAAUCCCACAAAAUAGAAUUGAAAACUUGAAGAAAUUGACCUUGGAAACUUGAAAACCCCAACUCUAAAGGAGGUUCCUUCAGGGAGACUUUCAGAGAAGAAAGGUUUCUAAGUUUUUGAGUUUUGAAAAUAAUAAUGUGUAUAAUAGGUUUUAAACACUUGUAAUACUCUUUAAAUAUGUUAAUAUAACUAAAAUAACCGUCCAUGUACAUUAAAAUAUUUUACCAAUUCACCCUUCAGUUGGCCGAGCUAAAGACAAAUAUGUAGGUGAUAUCUACAGUUCCCCAUCCACGGACCAUGGAUGGGUUGAUUCCACGUACUGGUGUUCCAUUAUUUUUGUCACAGUCUGUUCCUUUGAGGCCUUGAUCCACGCCAAUGGUUAAUGAGUUGUAGAUCAAUCUACUGGUCAUGAAUGUGUCUCGUGAACCAAGCUGUUUUGACAACUUUUUGGGUAGAGUUAGGGUCCUCCCCAAGGAUCCCUUCGGUGGUAAUUGGGGUGUUCUACCAAGAAGUUUAACCCCUAAGAACAUUUUUCUAAUUAUAAUAUUCACUUCAAUUUUUUACACUUAAACAACACUCUAAACUUCACUGACAAGGCCUUAGAACACACUUACUCAAAUGACUAGUUUCCCGACCCUAUAGUCAUUUUUUGUUGUUUGACCUCAAUUCUCUUUAAACUAAAAUUAAAAAUCCAUUAAUCAUCAUUUCUAUCAAGUUCUCAAAUUCAAAAUCACAUGUGAGGCUCGAUUUCUUCCUAUAUAAUUUUUAGGACCGUUACGAUGUUAGGGUAUGCUAACAGUUAGGGUUAUGGUUCCAUUUAAGAACAAAUUACAUGAAAUAAUUGUGUAUCUUGAGAUCUGUGAAAUUGUACAUUGUUCAUAAAUGUUAAAGAUAUUGUAUAUUCAGUAUAUACAUGUGUUUAUAAUCGUGCUUGACUUUCUUAUGUUACACUUAGUAGGAUAGCCGCGUGAUCUUACCACUAAUCUCAGGUUAUGUACUAAUACUAUACUUGCCCUUAUUUUUCUUGAGUACAUGUAAUCUUCAAAUGGCUAUUGACACACCUAACUUAAAAGACCGGUGAACGUUUGAAUUCAAGGGUGAUCCAAUCUUUUGGGCUGGCAUGAGUCCUUCUUUCGUCUCUGUCCACCUUUCAUACUUAGACUUGUUCUAGUUAGUAUUAAUUUAAUAAGCUUAACUUAUACUCCUUUUUUAAAUAUAAUUUAACAAUUUUUAACACAUAGUUUAAUUAUCAUUUUAAAUUUAAUGUUACAAAUCAAUAAAACAUUUGAAACAUAGCAACAUAACUAAACCAAAAUUCUGAACUUCCUGUCAUCUUUGAGAUCAGACUUUUGUUUUUCCUUAAUCCCUAAGUAUUUUAUUCUAUGGAAAUGGAUCAAAAUGUUCUUAAAUUAAGUGAAAUGCAUAAAUUUUAUUCCACCAUUAAUAUUUUGAUCAAAUCAUACCCAUUAUUACUUAAUUUCCCAAAAAUAUCCUUAUUUCUCACCAAACAUAACAAAAAAUGAAUAAGUACAUAUUGGACCUAGUGUUAGAACGAAUGAACAAGAAUGAGAAAAUCACAAGGAAUACAAAAUAAAACAUUCGUGGCUUAAAGGCACAUUAAUACGUCUCUUGAAGAUAGUUGGAGUCUCUCCCACAAGCAAUCCGAAGAAUAAAUAACAAUUCUAUUUUUGGGAUUCAACUAAGCCACAAAACAAGUAGCAUUAAAGAAUGUUUCUCUUCUAUUAUUGAAUUGGUGAUUUCACCUUUUGAUUAAUGUCUCACAAGUGUUUUCAUGGGAAAGUACUUUUAUUUGAAUUCUUAUCUUUUUUAACCAAAAGAAACUCUUUUUAUAGGAUAAACAUUAUGCAAGAUAAAGACUUUUGAUUAAUAUAAUUUAUUAUAGGUUCAUGAAUUUAAAAUAAAGUUAUCUUUCCAAAUUAAUAACGUAGAGCCUCUUACAAAAUCCUAUAACGUAGAAUUAAAACAAAGAAGAAUGUGACAACUCACAUUCAUUAUUUUGUUAUUUUCAAAACUUUUAAUGGAUGAAUUUUAUUUCAAAAUUAAUUGAGGCACUAAUUCUUACAAUCCCCCACUUGUUUCAAGAAAUUUCAUCUUUGAAAAAUCCAAAAAAAAUUUUGAGACAUUAAUCUACAUGCGUCAAUACUGGUGUCUUUUAGACUUGAACCAUUAUCUAGUGAAGGUUUUCUAAAUCAUUGACUACUUAUUAAACAAAUCUUGAAUUAAGUGGUUUAUUGAAUGAAGUUAGAAAAAAAUACUCCACGCAUAUCACUAUAUUCCGGUGAAAAUCAAAAUCCUUUGGCACCUUACGGCCAUGUGUCAUGAAUCCUCUUAGCCAGAAACCUUAAAAAUCUUAUUGAAGCGGUGUCCACUUCGCACUUAGUGCAGUGAAUUCAUCAAGAGUAACUUUGCAUACUUUGACCAAAUAGUCUAUGAACUUCAUUAAGAGAAAAUUAAUCUCAUCCUCCUUUACAACAAAGUAUCGGUAAAUCUAUCAAGAGUAUUCCUAUGCACUCCAAUCGAAAUCGAUUUAUAGACUUAUUAAGAGGAUAUAAUCUCAUCCUUCACUUCAUUAGGAAUAUGAUUAACAUUUAUCAAGAGUUUUCUUACUAACUCCAAACGAGAUCGGUCUUAUAAAUUUAUUAAAAGAAAAGAAUCUCAAUCAUGUACUUCUACUUAUUUCAUUUUAUUUUGAAAAUGAAAGUUUUAUUGAUGUGUGUCACAAUUGUAACUUUAUUUGUUUUUCCCUUUGAACCCAUGAUUACAUCAUCAGGUAGGGUUACGAUAAAGUACAAUCAGUUUCCAACAGGGUUUAUUCCCAUACCAUUAUAGAUUUCAACUACUAACUCUUUGCCUAACCCUUUACACAAAGGAUUCGCUAAAUUAAAAUCUAGACUUUACAUAUUGAAGUGAUAUCACACCUUCCUCCAAUAAUCUCCUCAUAUUAUUUUGUUUGAGACAAACUUGUCUUGACUUGCCAUUAUAGCAGUCACUUGAAGCCCAAAAUAUAGUAGCUUGAUUAUCACAAUAAAUAGUUAAAGGUGGUAUGACUUACUCCAUAAAGGAAUAUCAAUCAACAAAAAUUGUAGCCAUUCAGCUUCUUCUCCAGCAGAAGACAUAGCUAUAAAUUUUGACUCCAUGUUUGAAUGAGUAAUACAUGUCUGAUUCUUUGAUUUCCAAAAGAUCGUUGCUCCAGCCAAAGUGAAAAUCAAAGCAGUAAUAGAUUUAGAGUCAUUCGGUUCAGAAUUCCAAGUAGCACCGCUAUAGCCUUCAAGAACAACAAGAAAUGUAGAGUAAUAUAGGCCAACAUUAAUUGUACCCUCCAAGUAUCUUAAAACACGAAUUAAGGCAUUCCAGUGUUCAACUCCAGGAUUACUAGUAAACUUGCUCAAAGUUCCUACUGUGUAACCAAUAUCAGGUUCGGUACAUAAGACUCCCAACAAUCUCAGAAUAUAUAAGCUGACCAAGAAUAUCACUAGAGUUCCGCAUAAGUUUGAUGCUAGGAUCAAAUGGUGUAGGAGCAGGUUUGACGUCAAAGUGACCAAACCUUUUUAGAAUUUUCCCAAUAUAACUUGAUUGAGUAAGAAUCAAGACAUUCGCCGAUCUCAUGAUUUUAAUGCCCAACAUUACAUAAACUUCUCCAAGAUCUUUCUUUUCAAAUUGAGAAGCUAUAAAUGAUUUUGUUUCUUUGACUCUUUCAAUAUCAGUUCCAAAGAUCAACAUAUCAUCUACAUAGAGACAUAUUAUAACACCUUUUUCUUCUUAAAUUUACUAAAUAUACAAAUAUCGCCACCAUUAAUUAAAUAGCCAUUAGAAAUUAUUACUCUUCUUAAUUUCUCAUUCCGUUGUUUUAGAGCUUGUUUGAUUCCAUAAAGAGAUCUAAGAAGCUUACAAACUUUGUGUUCUUGACGAGGAACGACAAAACAUUCUGGUUGUUUCACGUAAACCUCUUAAUCUAGAUCUCCAUUCAGAAAUGAAAUCUUCACAUCCAUUUGAUGUAUUACCAUACUAUGAAUUACGGUUAAAGCAAUUAAGAGUCGAAUAGAAGUCAAUUGGCUACAGGUGCAAAGGUAUCAAAAUAAUCAAUAUCUUUUGAUAUACCGUUAUUUCACGGUAUUUUUAAUGCUUUUUCCUUAUGUUUAGUGUGUGUCCAAAAGCCUUUUUGAAUUAAUUUUUAUGAAAGUUUCUCUUUAUUUGCACGAAAUCUGUCUAAAGAUGAAUGCAAAAGUUUUUUAGUAAGAAAUGCUAAAAAGUAUCACCUACGGAGCUUUUGACAGUCCAUCGUGCCUGUGACGAUCCGUAGGUGGCAUCGUAGUGAAGCUGCUGAAGGAAGAUGGGGAAGUCUGUGUUAUGCCUCGUAUUUUAUACGUAGUGCGCGUCAUGAACUAGUAGAUGUAAGUCCGGGAAAUGAGAUUUUAUUUUAAGUUCCAAGUGAUUAAAGAAAUAUUAGGCAAGGAUGUUAAUUCCAAAAGUGGUAUUAAGUAUGAUUUGGCUAAUGUAACUGCCAUUAACUUUAAGUGAGAGAUUAAUUAGUGGCUGAUUAGGAUUAAAUUAAUCUAGUGGGCCCCACCACUCAAGGCAAAUUAAAAGGAAUCAGAUUAGGAGCUGGCCUUAGUGGGACACGUGUAGAGGGGGUUUGCCUCCACUUCAUAUUAUAAAUGGGUGGUGAAAUGCAUUGCAACAUACCAUCUUCUUUUCCACUUGGCUUAGGCAGCCAUGGAAAUGGAGAAAACCAACCAUGUAACUCUUGGCCAGCAGUUACAAAGAAUUUGGUCAGUAAUCUCUUUGCUUGGUGUGUUAAUUCCUUAGAAUACCUUUGGUAAUUAGCCAUAAUGUUAAGAAGGGGGCGUAACCAAUAGCUUAGGAAGUUUUUUUUAGUUAUUGAAUGUGCUAAGUAUGAACGGAAACCAUAAUCGAAUUAUUAGUGGUGUCGUGUUAGUGUUUGGGCUGUUUUGAUUAAAGCAAACUGCGGGAAAUUUUGUUUUGGUGUUAUGUAUAUGUUAAUGUGAUUAUGGGUAUAUACUCCAAAGGAUGAAUACGAUAAGGUAGAUGUGUUUGCGAAUUAUAAAACAUGUUAUCGCUCGGUGUGUCGUUGCUUCGUUACUAUAGUUGCCGAGACGGAACUGUUUUGGGGGGGGGGGUCUGUUUAAUAUGAUUCGUUGGGAUAUAUGUGUUAUUGGUAUUGUUGUGAAUAAUUUGGGUUGUUGUCGGAUUGGGACGAAGUAAGGAAAACAGGGGAAGUGCUGCCAGAUUUUUGUUAGAUCAUUAACUAGCUUACAUAAGUAGUAAAGCGCGACGUUUCUCUGAUUGCGGCACGAUUGUAGCUUGUUAUUGAUUAAUAGCUUGAGCAAUAAAUAUUGGACGUGAGGCUCGGCUAUACGGUAUGUAAAGCUAUCUUUACUUUCUUUGGUUGGCACGACUUUUAAAAAUGAGAGAAUAACGGACAGGUUUGAUACUUACUUCUAGAGCGUCUAGGUGACAUAUAUUCUUGCCUCCACAACUAUUCCUCUAUAUAUCGGCCAUGUCUAAGGCUAUGAUGAUUUCUCAUAUCUAUGGUAGUGCUUGUUAGAGUCAUUGAGAUUUUAUGUUUCCAUAUCGUAUUAAAGGUUCAAAUACUUGAUACAACGUUAAUAUUUGGUAAUACUCCUUGCUGGUUCACGUUGAUUGUUCUAUUGAGUUAUAAGAAAUGAUUUUAAUUGCAUAUGGUUGGUCAGAAUAUUCUGCUCGUGCAUAGAGUCAUUUAUCAUUUCACCGAGUCCCGAGUCGGGUAAUGUUCGUACGGAGUUUCUAGCAUAUGUCACCGAGUCCCUCACUAGAGGGCAGGGUAUGUAUUUUAUAUAUAUGAUUGGUGAUGAGGAUGGUUAUGAUGAUGAUGAUGACGGAGAUGAUGUGAUGACUAUUUCACCGAGUCCCUCACUAGACGGCCGGGUAC
This 29058-nucleotide long non-coding RNA is filed under the name Solanum lycopersicum (tomato). RNAcentral's name for it is "long non-coding RNA (SLYC_LNC000393)". Lineage: Eukaryota; Viridiplantae; Streptophyta; Magnoliopsida; Solanales; Solanaceae. The record is from RNAcentral.